UGGGGAAUAUUGGACAAUGGGCGCGAGCCUGAUCCAGCAAUGCCGCGUGUGUGAAGAAGGCCUUCGGGUUGUAAAGCACUUUUAUCAGGAGCGAAACGCUGUCGGCUAAUACCCGGCGGAACUGACGGUACCUGAGGAAUAAGCACCGGCUAACUUCGUGCCAGCAGCCGCGGUAAUACGAAGGGUGCAAGCGUUAAUCGGAAUUACUGGGCGUAAAGCGUGCGUAGGCGGUUUCUUAAGUCUGCUGUGAAAUCCCCGGGCUCAACCUGGGAAUGGCAGUGGAUACUGGGAGGCUAGAGUGUGUCAGAGGGUGGUGGAAUUCCCGGUGUAGCGGUGAAAUGCGUAGAGAUCGGGAGGAACAUCAGUGGCGAAGGCGGCCACCUGGGACAACACUGACGCUGAGGCACGAAAGCGUGGGGAGCAAACAGGAUUAGAUACCCUGGUAGUCCACGCCCUAAACGAUGCGAACUGGAUGUUGGUCUCAACUCGGAGAUCAGUGUCGAAGCUAACGCGUUAAGUUCGCCGCCUGGGGAGU
Molecule: ribosomal RNA, 535 nt
Filed under: uncultured bacterium
Lineage: Bacteria
Description: partial 16S ribosomal RNA
Rfam family: Bacterial small subunit ribosomal RNA
Source: RNAcentral